RNAcentral lists this long non-coding RNA (882 nucleotides) under Phoenix dactylifera (date palm). RNAcentral describes it as "long non-coding RNA (PDAC_LNC017233)". Lineage: Eukaryota; Viridiplantae; Streptophyta; Magnoliopsida; Arecales; Arecaceae. The record is from RNAcentral.
ACCCCCCAACCUAUAAUUUGCUAGUCCUCAAGCAAAAUAAAAUCUAACUCACUUUCGCAGGAAUCGCGAUUGCAUUUACCGUAUGCAAUAAGGCUUUAAACCCCUAGGUGGCCCUAGUGGACGAGUUUUGUCUCGUGAGGGUUUCCGGCUCAGAUACCCACAAACUGUAGUCGAAAAAAUUUAUUUUAUUAUUUUAUAAAAUCUAAUUUCAAAUGCAUUAAUGCCAAGAAUUUCAAAAGCACACAAAGUUUUAAUUACUAAGUCAGCCCAAAUCCUAAGUCAGUAUGCAACUUAAGUUGAAGUCAUUAAGUUUCCGUUAGGGAGUUGUAAGACUUAUUUAUACUUGGAUGCUUGGUGAUAUCUGGACCAUACACAAGCUAAGGCUUUAGAUCCCCAAAAUACUGCUAAAGCUAGUAGUUUCCAAGAAUUGGUCAGAUAAGACCUAAUCACUGAUUCAAAAUCAUCCUAUCUUGCAGAAUUUCGAGAGUUGUGGAUGUUUACUUUAAUACCUCAUGGGCUUUAUCUGUAAUAUUCCAGUUUACUCGAAUUUUUUCAACGACGGCUUUCACACUAUCGUGUUUUUCGAGGUCAAUUUUAUUAUUUUUUUAUUUUUUCCUUUUUUUGUAUUUAUAAAUAAUUUAUGCACUUUUACUCUUGUAAUGAUUCCUCCGUGUAGCGAGCAUUCAGUCAACACUCCCACACCAGAUGGCGUAAGGUGUUGGGCAUCAAGACUCCCCUACGGACCUAUGCUCGGGUUCCUCAUACAAGCCCGCUGACCUUUGACAAUAGGUAGCCCUUUUCGAUGUACCUGACUAAAUUCACUUUUUUUUUUAAUAGUGAAUUAGAUAGGUAUGAUUCAUCAGGACUCAAGGUUGCUACCAG